AUGGUGAAGAUCCGGCAAUUUUUGUUGGCUAUUUUGUGGCUUCAGCUAAGCUGUGUAAGUGACGCCAAAAAUGAAGUGGAGCAGAGUCCUCAGGACCUGACUGCCCAGGAAGGAGAAUUUAUCACAAUCAACUGCAGUUACUCGAUAGGAAUAAACACCUUACAAUGGCUGCAACAGCAUCAAGGAGGAGGCAUUGUUUCCUUGUUUAUGCUGAGCUCAGGGAAGAAGAAGAAUGGAAGAUUAAUGGCCACAAUAAACAUACAGGAAAAGCACAGCUCCCUGCACAUCACAGCCUCUCAGCCCAGAGACUCUGCCAUCUACAUCUGUGCUGCUUCUGAGGAAAGCAACUAUCAGUUAAUCUGGGGCGCUGGGACCAAGCUAAUUAUAAAGCCAGAUAUCCAGAACCCUGACCCUGCCGUGUACCAGCUGAGAGACUCUAAAUCCAGUGACAAGUCUGUCUGCCUAUUCACCGAUUUUGAUUCUCAAAUAAAUGUGUCACAAAGUAAGGAUUCCGACGUGUAUAUCACAGACAAAACUGUGCUAGACAUGAGGUCUAUGGACUUCAAGAGCAACAGUGCUGUGGCCUGGAGCAACAAAUCUGAUUUUGCAUGUGCAAACGCCUUCAACGACAGCAUUGUUCCAGCAGACACCUUCUUCCCCAGCCCAGAAAGUCUCUGUGAUGUCAAGCUGGUCGAGAAAAGCUUUGAAACAGAUAUGAACCUAAACUUUCAAAACCUGUCAGUGAUGGGGUUCCGAAUCCUCCUCCUGAAAGUGGCCGGGUUUAAUCUGCUCAUGACGCUGCGGCUGUGGUCCAGCUGAGAUCUGCAAGAUUGUAUGAGAGCCUGUGCUCCCUCGCUCCUUCCUCCGCAUCACCCCUCUUCUCCCUCUCCAAAUAGAGGGAACUCUCCCACCCCCAUGGAGGAGGAAGCUGCUACCACCUCUGUGCCCCCGCCGGCAAUGCCCCAACUGGAUCCUACCUGAAUUUGUGAUUAAGAUUGCUGAAGAGCUGCCAAACACUGCUGCCACCCCCUCUGUUCCCUUAUUGCUGCUUGUCACUGCCUGACAUUCACGGCAGAGGCAAGGCUGCUGCAGCCUCCCCUGGCUGUGCACAUUCCCUCCCACUCCCCAGAGACUGCCUCUGCCAUCCCACAGAUGAUGGAUCCUCAGUUGGUUCUCUUGGGCUCGAGGUCCUGGAGAAUGUUGUGAGGGGUUUAUAUUUUUUAAAUAGUGUUCAUAAAGAAAUACAUACUAUUCUUCUUCUCAAGACGUGGGGGGAAAUUACCUCAUUAUCGAAGCCCUGCUAUGCUGUGUAUCUGGGCGUGUUGUAUAUCCUGCUGCCAAUGGCUUCAUUAAAAUGAUUUGGAGGAGCA
Symphalangus syndactylus (siamang) is the source of this 1370-nucleotide non-coding RNA. The record is from the annotation of a RefSeq genome assembly. NCBI's taxonomy places the organism in Eukaryota, Metazoa, Chordata, Mammalia, Primates, Hylobatidae.